CUAAUAAUUUAAUAAAUAUAUUUAACGAUUAUUAAUCUGCCACUCAAUAACAUUGCGAGUUUAACCCCUUAAUCAUUAAGGAUUUCAACGGAUCACUGCCAGCAUCACAGCCAGCCAUUUUGUCCUUUCAUUCACUUGGUCCAGUCCCAAUGUCCAACUUCAGCAUGAUCUUAAUGGGUCAGAUUUUAAAUCUGGGUUAGUAAAACUUAGUGUUGCUCUCUUUUCAAAUAUAGCUUAGUAGGGCUGGGCGAUAGGGAGAAGAUCAGAUAUCACGAUAUUCUUGACCAAUUACCUCUAUCGAUAUUGUGACAAUAUUCUAGGUUUGACAGUUGGUGCUUUCAAAAAAUAUCUUCACACUUAGAUUUUAGAUAAUCAUCAGUAAUGUGGAAAUAAUGUCUAAGUGGGGUACAGGCUAAUAAUAGAACAGUAUGGUAAGUUCAGAAAAGCACAUCACUACACUGUAAUGCAGCGUUUAAAACCAGGAAAACACACUUGUCAUAUUACAAUAUCCUAAAUCUAAGACGAUAUCCAGUCUCAUAUCGCUAUAUCAAUAUAAUAGAUAAAUUGGCCAGCCCUAUAGCUUAGUAAGAUGUAUGGAAAGUGUAGGAGAUGUCUGGGUGUUCCCCAUGGUGGACACUGGAACUGGGUCAGUAAUACCAAAAAUUUCCCUUUAGCAACAAAGUGUGAUACAAGUUCAGUCUCUUGCUCUUUAGAACCAACAUUUGGAUAAUUCAAGUUACUCCUUUUACAGUUACAUUCAGAAAAAAAAUGUUUUAUAAUGCUUAAUAUUGCUAUUUUUUUCACCCACACGCUUGUUUGAUUUUGACAAAAUAAAUUGUGGUGAAGGUGUAUGUAGAGUUAGUAUGGGACAUACACUUCCCUGGGUAAUUAACUAGAGGAGAGGAAAAGGGAGGGAAGGAGAAAAAACAGAGAAAAAUGCUGUUAUGACUAAGACAAAGGGUACCAAGCAACACUGGAAAACCACUGCACGCCAAGUAGAGAAAAAAAACCCCAUGGUUACAGUAUGAGCCCCGAGCAAAAGCACCAGCAUACAUUAGCUUCUGAAUUCAUAAGACAUUGAAUUGGUGAUGGGGUGUGCACUGUGGGCACCCAGAGUUAGGCAACUUUGCCAACAGCAUUCUUUUGAUAUUGUGUUGCUGCCAAUGACUCCUGUAUUCAUUCCUCCUGUUCAUACUGGUCAUUACAGGCGGACAUUUCAUACUAAAAAGACUAGAACCUUGGAAGAUAUCCACUUGAGUUGGCAAACUCAGAUGGCUGAAGCUUUACAUUAAUGUCGGGGGAACUUUGCAAUGUUUGUUUUCAUGGAACAAGGGGAUCACUUGCAUUAAUAGCACAUGAGGAAAGGAUCUUGUAACGACCAGUGUGAACAGGACUCAGGGAUGAUCACAGCAAGU
Etheostoma spectabile (orangethroat darter) is the source of this 1415-nucleotide long non-coding RNA. RefSeq lists it as uncharacterized. The record is from RefSeq and is a predicted model, not a curated record. Lineage: Eukaryota; Metazoa; Chordata; Actinopteri; Perciformes; Percidae. The transcript is spliced from 2 exons.